RNAcentral lists this transfer RNA (73 nucleotides) under Sphaerodactylus townsendi. RNAcentral's name for it is "tRNA-Ala". Lineage: Eukaryota; Metazoa; Chordata; Lepidosauria; Squamata; Sphaerodactylidae. The record is from RNAcentral.
GGGGCUGUGGCUCAGUGGCAGAGCAUCAGCCCAGCAUGCAGAAGGUCCCAAAUUCAGUCCCUGGUUGGUAUCU